This 460-nucleotide ribosomal RNA is filed under the name uncultured bacterium. RNAcentral's name for it is "partial 16S ribosomal RNA". It matches the Rfam family "Bacterial small subunit ribosomal RNA", at positions 338 to 795 of the family's 1533-position model. The record is from RNAcentral.
CCUACGGGUGGCUGCAGUGAGGAAUAUUGGUCAAUGGACGAGAGUCUGAACCAGCCAAGUAGCGUGAAGGAUGACUGCCCUAUGGGUUGUAAACUUCUUUUAUAUGGGAAUAAAAUGUUCCCCGUGUGGGAUUUUGUAUGUACCAUAUGAAUAAGGAUCGGCUAACUCCGUGCCAGCAGCCGCGGUAAUACGGAGGAUCCGAGCGUUAUCCGGAUUUAUUGGGUUUAAAGGGAGCGUAGGUGGAUUGUUAAGUCAGUUGUGAAAGUUUGCGGCUCAACCGUAAAAUUGCAGUUGAAACUGGCAGUCUUGAGUACAGUAGAGGUGGGCGGAAUUCGUGGUGUAGCGGUGAAAUGCUGAGAUAUCACGAAGAACUACGAUUGCGAAGGCAGUUCACUGGACUGCAACUGACACUGAGGCUCAAAAGUGUGGGUAUCAAACAGGAUUAGAUACCCCAGUAGUC